RNAcentral lists this long non-coding RNA (293 nucleotides) under Mytilus galloprovincialis (Mediterranean mussel). The record is from RNAcentral. Lineage: Eukaryota; Metazoa; Mollusca; Bivalvia; Mytilida; Mytilidae.
UUUUAAGAAAUGUCAUGGUGGGGAGUGUUAGAUUUGAAAUGUAAUUCCAAAUUGUUGGGUUACUUCAUUUAUUAUUACUGAAGUUAUUUAUUUUAUUUGUAUUACUUGUAGAUACGAUUUUUGGGUAUUUGCGCAUACAUGUAACGUUGCGCUCUUAUGAAUUGUUAUAUUUCCCGUUUUUAAAGUUUUAUGACGUUUAGCCUUUUACGUACGUUACGUUGUCUAGUUUUUAUUCAUUGCAAGUUAUUUGAUAUUCGGAGACACAUCAUAAUUUUAUAGAGAGAUCAUAAUCG